RNAcentral lists this long non-coding RNA (336 nucleotides) under Brassica napus (rape). RNAcentral's name for it is "long non-coding RNA (BNAP_LNC023970)". Lineage: Eukaryota; Viridiplantae; Streptophyta; Magnoliopsida; Brassicales; Brassicaceae. The record is from RNAcentral.
CAUAGUACCAGUAGUCCGGCCUAUAUGGCCUAAGACCCUUAGUACUAACUACUAAACAACUAAGCAAUAAUAAUCAAUACUAAUCAAUUAAAUCAAACCGUUAUCCAGAUAGUCCAGCCUCCUGCUAUGAAAAUAUCCUUAAAGAUAACGGGAACCUGCACUCAACCAAAUCAACACACAAGAAUAGAAAACAUGAUGCAUCCUAACCUUAGUCCUAGUCAGGUUAUCAACUCAGUCUUAAUUCCAUUUAUCUCAGCUUAGCCCUUGCUAAACUGAAUCCGGUUCCAUAAAUAAAAUAACCCUAAGGACUCUACCAUUCAAUAGUGUGAUCAUUCU